This 451-nucleotide ribosomal RNA is filed under the name uncultured bacterium. RNAcentral's name for it is "partial 16S ribosomal RNA". It matches the Rfam family "Bacterial small subunit ribosomal RNA", at positions 354 to 796 of the family's 1533-position model. The record is from RNAcentral.
GUGGGGAAUAUUGGACAAUGGGGGGAACCCUGAUCCAGCCAUGCCGCGUGUGUGAAGAAGGCCUUUUGGUUGUAAAGCACUUUAAGCGAGGAGGAGGCUACCGAGAUUAAUACUCUUGGAUAGUGGACGUUACUCGCAGAAUAAGCACCGGCUAACUCUGUGCCAGCAGCCGCGGUAAUACAGAGGGUGCAAGCGUUAAUCGGAUUUACUGGGCGUAAAGCGCGCGUAGGUGGCCAAUUAAGUCAAAUGUGAAAUCCCCGAGCUUAACUUGGGAAGUGCAUUCGAUACUGGUUGGCUAGAGUAUGGGAGAGGAUGGUAGAAUUCCAGGUGUAGCGGUGAAAUGCGUAGAGAUCUGGAGGAAUACCGAUGGCGAAGGCAGCCAUCUGGCCUAAUACUGACACUGAGGCACGAAAGCGUGGGGAGCAAACAGGAUUAGAAACCCUGGUAGUCC